UACGUAGGUGGCAAGCGUUGUCCGGAAUUACUGGGCGUAAAGCGUGCGCAGGCGGUUCUGUAAGUCUGUCGUGAAAUCCCCGGGCUCAACCUGGGAAUUGCGAUGGAGACUGCAAGGCUAGAAUCUGGCAGAGGGGGGUAGAAUUCUACGUGUAGCAGUGAAAUGCGUAGAGAUGUGGAGGAACACCGAUGGCGAAGGCAGCCCCCUGGGUCAAGAUUGACGCUCAUGCACGAAAGCGUGGGGAGCAAACAGG
Molecule: ribosomal RNA, 253 nt
Filed under: uncultured bacterium
Lineage: Bacteria
Description: partial 16S ribosomal RNA
Rfam family: Bacterial small subunit ribosomal RNA
Source: RNAcentral